RNAcentral lists this ribosomal RNA (509 nucleotides) under uncultured bacterium. Its description in RNAcentral is "bacterial SSU rRNA". It matches the Rfam family "Bacterial small subunit ribosomal RNA", at positions 29 to 531 of the family's 1533-position model. The record is from RNAcentral.
AUUGAACGCUGGCGGAAUGCUUUACACAUGCAAGUCGAGCGGCAGCGCGGGGCAACCUGGCGGCGAGCGGCGAACGGGUGAGUAAUGCAUCGGAACGUACCCCGUCGUGGGAAGUAACUACCCGAAAGGGUAGCUAAUACCGCAUACGACCUGAGGGUGAAAGACGGGGGACCGGAAAGGCCUCGCGCGAUGGGAGCGGCCGAUGCCGGAUUAGCUAGUUGGUAGGGUAAAGGCCUACCAAGGCGACGAUCCGUAGCUGGUCUGAGAGGACGACCAGCCACACUGGAACUGAGACACGGUCCAGACUCCUACGGGAGGCAGCAGUGAGGAAUAUUGGGCAAUGGGCGAAAGCCUGACCAGCCACGCCGCGUGAGUGAUGAAGGCCCUCGGGUCGUAAAGCUCUGUGGAGAGGGACGAAAACCCUGGUUUCAAAUAAGGCUCCAGGCUUGACGGUACCUCUUUAGCAAGCACCGGCUAACUCUGUGCCAGCAGCCGCGGUAAUGUCGAUA